Molecule: ribosomal RNA, 253 nt
Filed under: uncultured bacterium
Lineage: Bacteria
Description: partial 16S ribosomal RNA
Rfam family: Bacterial small subunit ribosomal RNA
Source: RNAcentral
UACGUAGGGUGCGAGCGUUGUCCGGAAUUAUUGGGCGUAAAGGGCUCGUAGGCGGUUUGUCGCGUCGGGCGUGAAAACCUUGGGCUUAACUCAGGGCUUGCUUUCGAUACGGGCAGACUAGAGGUAUGCAGGGGAGAACGGAAUUCCUGGUGUAGCGGUGAAAUGCGCAGAUAUCAGGAAGAACACCAAUGGCGAAAGCAGCUCUCUGGGACGGUACUGACGCUGAGACGCGAAAGCGUGGGGAGCGAACAGG